Molecule: ribosomal RNA, 490 nt
Filed under: uncultured bacterium
Lineage: Bacteria
Description: partial 16S ribosomal RNA
Rfam family: Bacterial small subunit ribosomal RNA
Source: RNAcentral
GAUGAACGCUAGCGAUAGGCUUAACACAUGCAAGUCGAGGGGCAGCAUGGUCUUAGCUUGCUAAGACUGAUGGCGACCGGCGCACGGGUGCGUAACGCGUAUGCAACUUGCCUCACAGAGGGGGAUAACCCGUCGAAAGUCGGACUAAUACCGCGUACACUUGGGAUAGGGCAUCCUGACCCAAGGAAAUGAAAUUCGCUGUGAGAUAGGCAUGCGUGCUAUUAGCUAGUUGGUGAGGUAACGGCUCACCAAGGCGACGAUGGGUAGGGGAACUGAGAGGGUGAACCCUGACACGGGUACUGAGCCACGGACCAGACUCAUACGGGAGGGAGCAGUGAGGAAUAUUGGUCAAUGGGCGAGUGCCUGAACCGGCCAAGUCGCGUGAAGGAUGACUGUCUUAUGGAUUGUAGCCUUCUUUUAUACGGGAAUAACAAGAGGCACGUGUGGCUGCGUGAAGGUACCGUAUGAAUAAGCAUCGGCUAACUCCGUG